RNAcentral lists this ribosomal RNA (253 nucleotides) under uncultured bacterium. RNAcentral's name for it is "partial 16S ribosomal RNA". It matches the Rfam family "Bacterial small subunit ribosomal RNA", at positions 524 to 776 of the family's 1533-position model. The record is from RNAcentral.
UACAGAGGGUGCGAGCGUUGUUCGGAAUUAUUGGGCGUAAAGGGUGCGUAGGCGGCGCGGAAAGUAGGGUGUGAAAUCCCUCGGCUCAACCGAGGAACUGCGCUCUAAACUACCGUGCUCGAGGGAGAUAGAGGUGAGCGGAACUUAGGGUGGAGCGGUGAAAUGCGUUGAUAUCCUAAGGAACACCGGUGGCGAAAGCGGCUCACUGGAUCUCUUCUGACGCUGAGGCACGAAAGCUAGGGUAGCGAACGGG